UAACUGAUUGAAGCUCUUCUCUUCUUUCAAAUCGCAUCUCUCAAGUGAGAAGAAAAGGCCCUCCACGAGCGGUGGGAAAGCAAGGGCGUAGCAGGAAGAAGAAGUAUGAAAGCAGCAAAUCUUUCCUCCUCUGAUGAGGCUUAGUUCAGCUAGCCCUAGACAGAUCACAUCUCAUUAGAAAGGCAGGUAUUUUCUUUUUUAUUUAGGAUCU
RNAcentral lists this long non-coding RNA (211 nucleotides) under Nicotiana benthamiana. RNAcentral describes it as "long non-coding RNA (NBEN_LNC004735)". The record is from RNAcentral. Lineage: Eukaryota; Viridiplantae; Streptophyta; Magnoliopsida; Solanales; Solanaceae.